Molecule: ribosomal RNA, 392 nt
Filed under: uncultured bacterium
Lineage: Bacteria
Description: partial 16S ribosomal RNA
Rfam family: Bacterial small subunit ribosomal RNA
Source: RNAcentral
AUACGUAGGGGGCGAGCGUUGUCCGGAAUUAUUGGGCGUAAAGGGUUCGCAGGCGGUCUGAUAAGUCAGAUGUGAAAGGCAAUGGCUCAACCAUUGUAAGCAUUUGAAACUGUCAGACUUGAGUUAAGGAGAGGAAAGUGGAAUUCCUAGUGAAGCGGUGAAAUGCGUAGAUAUUAGGAGGAAAACCAGUGGCGAAGGCGACUUUCUGGACUUAUACUGACGCUGAGGAACGAAAGCGUGGGGAGCAAACAGGAUUAGAUACCCUGGUAGUCCACGCCGUAAACGAUGAGUGCUAGGUGUUGGGGGUCAAACCUCGGUGCCGCAGCUAACGCAUUAAGCACUCCGCCUGGGGAGUACGUACGCAAGUAUGAAACUCAAAGGAAUUGACGGGG